Mustela putorius furo (domestic ferret) is the source of this 105-nucleotide non-coding RNA. Lineage: Eukaryota; Metazoa; Chordata; Mammalia; Carnivora; Mustelidae. The record is from Rfam.
GUGCUCGCUUCGGCAGUACAUAUACUAAAGUUGGAAUGAUACAGAGAAGAUUAGCAAGACAUUUGCAAAUAUAUUCUCAUAUUCUGUAGGUUGCCUUUUAGUUUU